This 461-nucleotide long non-coding RNA is filed under the name Homo sapiens (human). RNAcentral's name for it is "LHRI_LNC830.1". Lineage: Eukaryota; Metazoa; Chordata; Mammalia; Primates; Hominidae. The record is from RNAcentral.
GUCAACAAUGGUAUUGGGAAAAAUGACAUCUUCUUUGGGAAGCUGUCCAUAACUUCUCUAAGUCUAACCGUUGUGUGGUAUCAAAGUACUCUGUACUUUUUCUUUCUGCAUUCUACGUGUCAGCAUUUGAAACUCUGCAUUAUGUGAUGGCUCCUUGUUAAGAGAGUAAGUUCCCUGAGGGCAGGAGUGUUGUUGAUGAAGGCAUAUUCAGCUCCUGCACACCAUUGUGCUCAGUAAAUAUUUGCCCCAAAAGUGGAUGAGUAGAGCUACUAGGAAGAUUGAAUUGAGUCACUCUAGUGUGUGAUUCAAAUGACCAAUUUUUCAUUGUAUUGUGACUCCAAAAGAAGACAGUAUUCUGUGUGUUUGUGUGUUUAGGGGGUGUUGCUGUAUGGCCCCAGGGGAGGCCAGAAGGUUUCAGCACUUUUCGUUGCUCUGUCCUUAAUAUAGUGCUCCAUUUACAC